UAGGAGAGCGUUCUAAGGGCAAUGAAGGUAGACCGUAAGGACUACUGGAGCGCUUAGAAGUGAGAAUGCCGGUAUGAGUAGCGAAAGACAGGUGAGAAUCCUGUCCACCGAAUGACUAAGGUUUCCUGGAGAAGGCUCGUCCUCCCAGGGUUAGUCGGGACCUAAGUCGAGGCCGAGAGGCGUAGACGAUGGACAACAGGUUGAUAUUCCUGUACCAGUUGAUUGUGCUUGAGUGAUGGAGUGACGCAGAAGGCUAAGCGAUCCGGACGAUUGGAAGUGUCCGGCCAAGCAGCAAGUCAGUUGAUGAGUCAA
RNAcentral lists this ribosomal RNA (312 nucleotides) under Pseudomonas aeruginosa. Its description in RNAcentral is "partial 23S ribosomal RNA". It matches the Rfam family "Bacterial large subunit ribosomal RNA", at positions 1229 to 1539 of the family's 2925-position model. Lineage: Bacteria; Pseudomonadati; Pseudomonadota; Gammaproteobacteria; Pseudomonadales; Pseudomonadaceae. The record is from RNAcentral.